Molecule: long non-coding RNA, 286 nt
Organism: Pieris brassicae (large cabbage white)
Lineage: Eukaryota; Metazoa; Arthropoda; Insecta; Lepidoptera; Pieridae
Exons: 2
Source: RefSeq, a predicted model, not a curated record
GUCGAGUCGCACCGGUCACUCUGAAGUCCCCCAUUUCACUGCACAUUUAAACACGUUUGCCGUCGUAGUCCACUUCAUACUGACGUUUCAGUCGAAACAUUUUUUGCUUCAAAUACGGAAAAACUUAGCAGUCAUGGAUAUAACUUCAACCAGACUACAAAGUCAAAUUGGCGCCAAUUCAAACUGGGCAUUAAUGUAUAGAAAUAAAGUUUUUAAUCCCGAGGAUGAAGAUCUGAAGAUCACCAAACAAUUAUCUCAAUUGCACAUAACUAUAGAGCAAAGAAAA